This 337-nucleotide unclassified non-coding RNA is filed under the name soil metagenome. RNAcentral describes it as "partial contains 5.8S ribosomal RNA, internal transcribed spacer 2, and large subunit ribosomal RNA". The stretch from base 1 to 120 matches the Rfam family "5.8S ribosomal RNA", at positions 35 to 154 of the family's 154-position model. The record is from RNAcentral.
GAUGAAGAACGCAGCGAAAUGCGAUAAGUAGUGUGAAUUGCAGAAUUCAGUGAAUCGUCGAAUCUUUGAACGCACAUUGCGCCCCAUGGUAUUCCGUGGGGCAUGCCUGUUCGAGCGUCAUUUACCCCCUCAAGCUCCGCUUGGUGUUGGGCGUCUGUCCCGCUUCGCGCGCGGACUCGCCCCAAAGGUAUUGGCAGCGGUCGUGCCAGCUUCUCGCGCAGCACAUUGCGCUUCUCGAGGCACCGGUGGGCCCGCGUCCAUCAAGCUCACCCCCCCAGUUUGACCUCGGAUCAGGUAGGGAUACCCGCUGAACUUAAGCAUAUCAAUAAGCGGAGGA